RNAcentral lists this ribosomal RNA (545 nucleotides) under Janicella spinicauda. RNAcentral's name for it is "partial 16S ribosomal RNA". It matches the Rfam family "Bacterial large subunit ribosomal RNA", at positions 1819 to 2625 of the family's 2925-position model. Lineage: Eukaryota; Metazoa; Arthropoda; Malacostraca; Decapoda; Oplophoridae. The record is from RNAcentral.
GUCUUUAUGGGUGAUAUAUAAAGUCUGACCUGCCCACUGAAGUGAGAUUUUAAGGGCCGCGGUAGCCUGACCGUGCUAAGGUAGCAUAGUCAUUAGUCUUUUAAUUGGAGGCUGGUAUGAAAGGUUGGACAAGAAGUAAGCUGUCUUUAUUAUAAAAAUAUAAUUUAACUUUUGAGUGAAAAGGCUUAAAUGUUCUAGGGGGACGAUAAGACCCUAUAAAACUUUACGUUAGGGGGCUGAUAUGUAAAUUUGGGUAUAAAAGUUUAUAGCGGUUGAAUGAUGUUUUGCUGGGGCGGCAGGAAUAUAAUAAUUAACUGUUCUAAGAUGUGUAAUAGGAAUAACUAGAGACUUUGAUCCUUUAGGGUGAGGAUUAUUAGAGUAAGUUACUUUAGGGAUAACAGCGUUAUUUUUUCUGAGAGUUCAUAUCGACGAAAGUAGUUGCGACCUCGAUGUUGAAUCAAAAUGUUGGCAAGGUGUAGAAGUUUUGCGGGUAGGUCUGUUCGACCUUUAAUAUUUUACGUGAUUUGAGUUCAGACCGGCGUGAG